This 460-nucleotide ribosomal RNA is filed under the name uncultured bacterium. RNAcentral's name for it is "partial 16S ribosomal RNA". It matches the Rfam family "Bacterial small subunit ribosomal RNA", at positions 338 to 795 of the family's 1533-position model. The record is from RNAcentral.
CCUACGGGAGGCAGCAGUGAGGAAUAUUGGUCAAUGGGCGGAAGCCUGAACCAGCCAAGUCGCGUGAGGGAAUAAGGCCCUACGGGUCGUAAACCUCUUUUGCCGGGGAGCAAGGGCGGGGACGUGUCCCGGCCCGGAGAGUACCCGGAGAAAAAGCAUCGGCGAACUCAGUGCCAGCAGCCGCGGUAAUACGGAGGAUGCGAGCGUUAUCCGGAUUUAGUGGGUUUAAGGGGUGCGUGGGCGGGCUGUUAAGUCAGCGGUAAAAAGUGGGGGCUCAACCACGACCGGCCGUUGAAACUGGGGGCCUUGAGUGGGCGAGAGGAAGGCGGAAUGCGUGGUGUAGCGGUGAAAUGCAUAGAUAUCACGCAGAACCCCGAUUGCGAAGGCAGCCUUCCGGCGCCCUACUGACGCUGAGGCACGAAAGUGUGGGGAUCGAACAGGAUUAGAUACCCUGGUAGUC